CAAGAAGAUUGUCUAUCAUACCCUUGUUGAAUCUUCUACAAGAGUUAGUUUUUUUAACUAAGAAACACGCUCCAAAUGAAUACUACACUUGUCUCUCACUUAUAAAAUUGCUUAAAGAAGCUCCACAUUCUCAACAUAGUUGAGAUAGGUGUUUAUCAUCUCACCCUGAAACGCUUCCAUUCCUUGGAUUCCGACUUUUCUGAUCGUCUUGCUCUUGACAUUGAAGUAGAUGACAUAGGAAGGCACUAUUUGGCAGUGCGGGGAGAAGACGAUUUCUUUGGUACCAACCAUUCCAGCGAUGUACAUGGGCCCCGUAAAUAAGAUUAACAUCCACAACAGGUGGGCUUUUUCAAACUAAGGUACUAGAAAAAAUAGGAAACACACAAAAUGAAAUAGGUGUUGAAAAUUUUAAACUGAUCUUCUUUAAUGGAUUAGACUAUACUUCUAUAUGUAAAACAAAUCAAUCUUAGCUGUAAAUUUUUAGUUUAUGGAUUUCUAUAUAAACUAAACUUAAAUAGGAGAUUUUAGCAUUAAAAUUCAAUCAAAUAUGAUGUAAAAAUUAUAAUUUAAAUUUUAAAAAAUUAGCAUUUCAAACAAAUUACGCAGAUAAAUAAACUAUAUUUGCUUCAAAAUCUACACUACUAGUACUUAAAAUACAUUUUAGUUUUCUUUCUUCUAAAUUGCAUGCUUAUUAUAAAUUUAUAUAUGAUUCACAUAAUGUUGCAUUCAAACUGGUCUGUCUUGGACUUCACGGUUCAAACCUCGGAGUUGUAUGCUCUAAUGAAUCACAACAUCUUCAUUUCUUAAUAAUAAUCGUCCAUUCUGCGAGUUCUUUGAGUCGGCCUCUUUAGCUUUUGAUUAAGUUUGCACAUUUUUCCAAUUGUCAAGUACGAACGAUUAAACAAUUGGGAUCAUCUUGCGGCCGGCCUUCCCAAGUUUUCUUUGACUCUUGAUAUAAUAGAGGUAUGCACAUUUUCCUUUGUGACUACUCAAUUGACCACACCUUAUUUGACUAGGUGCUUUAAACGUCUACUUGGAGACGCAGAUAACAAGAAUAAACAUCUAAGUUUGGAUCAAGCUUCUUAAUAGUUGAAUCAUCAUCAUCAUCUAUAGCUUUUCCUUCAACUUCUUAAUUUUGUACCUUCUCUCGAUGAUCUCUUACAAAGUUUUGACGAAUGGAUAAGACACUCAAAGAAUGUAACUCAAGAUUCUACUCCACAUAAACCAAAACAGCACAAGAAAUAGAUAUACAACUUGUGAUUUAUCAUAUCAUCUACAAGGGUCUGGACAAACAUCAUUCUCUGGCAAGCUUAAGAAAACUUGUGCUCUCUCUAUUACAGCAUUUUGUAACAAGAAGAUUGUCUAUCAUACCCUUGUUGAAUCUUCUACAAGAGUUAGUUUUUUUAACUAAGAAACACGCUCCAAAUGAAUACUACACUUGUCUCUCACUUAUAAAAUUGCUUAAAGAAGCUCCACAUUCUCAACAUAGUUGAGAUAGGUGUUUAUCAUCUCACCCUGAAACGCUUCCAUUCCUUGGAUUCCGACUUUUCUGAUCGUCUUGCUCUUGACAUUGAAGUAGAUGACAUAGGAAGGCACUAUUUGGCAGUGCGGGGAGAAGACGAUUUCUUUGGUACCAACCAUUCCAGCGAUGUACAUGGGCCCCGUAACCAAAUCAUUCCACGAAGGUGGUAAUACGUAUACACGCUUGGACCA
This 1713-nucleotide long non-coding RNA is filed under the name Brassica rapa (field mustard). RNAcentral describes it as "long non-coding RNA (BRAP_LNC003050)". Lineage: Eukaryota; Viridiplantae; Streptophyta; Magnoliopsida; Brassicales; Brassicaceae. The record is from RNAcentral.